AUGAACGCUGUCUACAGGCUUAACACAUGCCAGUCGAGGGGAAACGACGGGGAAGCUUGCUUCCCCGGGCGUCGACCGGCGCACGGGUGAGUAACGCGUAUCCAACCUGCCUCUGACUGAGGGAUAACCCGUCGAAAGUCGGCCUAAUACCUCAUGGCAUCGUCUGCGGGCAUCCAACGACGAUUAAAGAUUUCAUCGGUCAGGGAUGGGGAUGCGUCUGAUUAGCUUGUUGGCGGGGUAACGGCCCACCAAGGCUACGAUCAGUAGGGGUUCUGAGAGGAAGGUCCCCCACAUUGGAACUGAGACACGGUCCAAACUCCUACGGGAGGCAGCAGUGAGGAAGAUUGGUCAAUGGGCGGGAGCCUGAACCAGCCAAGUAGCGUGCAGGAUGACGGCCCUAUGGGUUGUAAACUGCUUUUAUGCGGGGAUAAAGUGAGGGACGUGUCCUUCAUUGCAGGUACCGCAUGAAUAAGGACCGGCUAAUUCCGUG
RNAcentral lists this ribosomal RNA (490 nucleotides) under uncultured bacterium. RNAcentral's name for it is "partial 16S ribosomal RNA". It matches the Rfam family "Bacterial small subunit ribosomal RNA", at positions 29 to 507 of the family's 1533-position model. The record is from RNAcentral.